This 492-nucleotide ribosomal RNA is filed under the name uncultured bacterium. RNAcentral's name for it is "partial 16S ribosomal RNA". It matches the Rfam family "Bacterial small subunit ribosomal RNA", at positions 29 to 507 of the family's 1533-position model. The record is from RNAcentral.
AGUGAACGCUGGCGGUAGGCCUAACACAUGCAAGUCGAACGGCAGCACAGUAAGAGCUUGCUCUUACGGGUGGCGAGUGGCGGACGGGUGAGGAAUACAUCGGAAUCUACUUUUUCGUGGGGGAUAACGUAGGGAAACUUACGCUAAUACCGCAUACGACCUACGGGUGAAAGCAGGGGAUCUUCGUACCUUGCGCGAUUGAAUGAGCAGAUGUCGGAUUAGCUAGUUGGCGGGGUAAAGGCCCACCAAGGCGACGAUCCGUAGCUGGUCUGAGAGGAUGAGCAGCCACACUGGAACUGAGACACGGUCCAGACUCCUACGGGAGGCAGCAGUGGGGAAUAUUGGACAAUGGGCGCAAGCCUGAUGCAGCCAUACCGCGUGAGUGAAGAAGGCCUUCGGGUUGUAAAGCCCUUUUGUUGGGAAAGAAAAGCAGCAGGUUAAUAUCCCGCUGUUCUGACGGUACCCAAAGAAUAAGCACCGGGUAACUGCGUG